RNAcentral lists this ribosomal RNA (640 nucleotides) under Edwardsiella sp. (in: enterobacteria). RNAcentral describes it as "bacterial SSU rRNA". It matches the Rfam family "Bacterial small subunit ribosomal RNA", at positions 799 to 1438 of the family's 1533-position model. The record is from RNAcentral. Lineage: Bacteria; Pseudomonadati; Pseudomonadota; Gammaproteobacteria; Enterobacterales; Hafniaceae.
GGGUUUUACGAUGUUCGAUUUGGAGGUUGUGCCCUUGAGGCGUGGCUUCCGAAGCUAACGCGUUAAAUCGACCGCCUGGGGAGUACGGCCGCAAGGUUAAAACUCAAAUGAAUUGACGGGGGCCCGCACAAGCGGUGGAGCAUGUGGUUUAAUUCGAUGCAACGCGAAGAACCUUACCUACUCUUGACAUCCAGCGAAUCCUGUAGAGAUACGGGAGUGCCUUCGGGAACGCUGAGACAGGUGCUGCAUGGCUGUCGUCAGCUCGUGUUGUGAAAUGUUGGGUUAAGUCCCGCAACGAGCGCAACCCUUAUCCUUUGUUGCCAGCGGUUCGGCCGGGAACUCAAAGGAGACUGCCAGUGAUAAACUGGAGGAAGGUGGGGAUGACGUCAAGUCAUCAUGGCCCUUACGAGUAGGGCUACACACGUGCUACAAUGGCGUAUACAAAGAGAAGCGAACUCGCGAGAGCAAGCGGACCUCAUAAAGUACGUCGUAGUCCGGAUUGGAGUCUGCAACUCGACUCCAUGAAGUCGGAAUCGCUAGUAAUCGUGGAUCAGAAUGCCACGGUGAAUACGUUCCCGGGCCUUGUACACACCGCCCGUCACACCAUGGGAGUGGGUUGCAAAAGAAGUAGGUAGCUUAA